GGGGGGGGGGGGGGGGGGGGGGGGGGGGGGGGGGGCGGGGGGGGGGGCCGGGGCGGGGGGGCGCGGGCGGCGGGCGGGGGGGUAACACGGGGGUGACCUGCCCUCAGCGCUGGGGUAGGCCGGGGAAACUGGGUCUAAUCCCGGAUAUGACCUUUCCUCGCAUGGGGGUUGGGGGAAAGGUUUUUCGGCUGGGGCUGGGCCCGCGGCCUAUCAGCUUGUUGGUGGGGUGAUGGCCUCCCAAGGCGACGACGGGUAGCCGGCCUGAGAGGGCGACCGGCCACAUUGGGACUGAGACACGGCCCAGACUCCUACGGGAGGCAGCAGUGGGGAAUAUUGCGCAAUGGGCGGAAGCCUGACGCAGCGACGCCGCGUGGGGGAUGACGGCCUUCGGGUUGUAAACCUCUUUCGACCCCGACGAAUUUGGACGGUAGGGGUAGAAGAAGCACCGGCCAACUACGUG
RNAcentral lists this ribosomal RNA (460 nucleotides) under uncultured bacterium. RNAcentral's name for it is "partial 16S ribosomal RNA". The stretch from base 53 to 460 matches the Rfam family "Bacterial small subunit ribosomal RNA", at positions 39 to 507 of the family's 1533-position model. The record is from RNAcentral.